This 475-nucleotide ribosomal RNA is filed under the name uncultured bacterium. RNAcentral describes it as "bacterial SSU rRNA". It matches the Rfam family "Bacterial small subunit ribosomal RNA", at positions 29 to 524 of the family's 1533-position model. The record is from RNAcentral.
AUUAAACGCUGGCGGCAUGCCUUACACAUGCAAGUCGAACGGUAGCGCGGGGCAACCUGGCGACGAGUGGCGAACGGGUGAGUAAAGCAUCGGAACGUGCCCUGGAAUGGGGGAUAACGUAGCGAAAGUUACGCUAAUACCGCAUAUUCUGUGAGCAGGAAAGCAGGGGAUCGCAAGACCUUGCGUUCUGGGAGCGGCCGAUGUCGGAUUAGCUAGUUGGUGGGGUAAAAGCCUACCAAGGCGACGAUCCGUAGCGGGUCUGAGAGGAUGAUCCGCCACACUGGGACUGAGACACGGCCCAGACUCCUACGGGAGGCAGCAGUGGGGAAUCUUGCGCAAUGGGCGAAAGCCUGACGCAGCAACGCCGCGUGGGGGAUGAAGGCUCUCGGGUUGUAAACCCCUUUCAGCAGGGACGAAUCAAGACGGUACCUGCAGAAGAAGCCCCGGCUAACUACGUGCCAGCAGCCGCGGUAAU